RNAcentral lists this ribosomal RNA (449 nucleotides) under uncultured organism. Its description in RNAcentral is "partial 16S ribosomal RNA". It matches the Rfam family "Bacterial small subunit ribosomal RNA", at positions 330 to 796 of the family's 1533-position model. The record is from RNAcentral.
CGUACACUCCUGCGGGAGGCAGCAGUGGGGAAUAUUGGACAAUGGGCGCAAGCCUGAUCCAGCCAUGCCGCGUGAGUGAUGAAGGCCCUAGGGUUGUAAAGCUCUUUCACCGGUGAAGAUAAUGACGGUAACCGGAGAAGAAGACCCGGCUAACUUCGUGCCCGCAGCCGCGGUAAUACGAAGGGGGCUAGCGUUGUUCGGAUUUACUGGGCGUAAAGCGCACGUAGGCGGACUAUUAAGUCAGGGGUGAAAUCCCGGGGCUCAACCCCGGAACUGCCUUUGAUACUGGUAGUCUUGAGUUCGAGAGAGGUGAGUGGAAUUCCGAGUGUAGAGGUGAAAUUCGUAGAUAUUCGGAGGAACACCAGUGGCGAAGGCGGCUCACUGGCUCGAUACUGACGCUGAGGUGCGAAAGCGUGGGGAGCAAACAGGAUUAGAAACCCGGGUAGUCC